RNAcentral lists this ribosomal RNA (854 nucleotides) under Phyllosticta hakeicola. RNAcentral describes it as "partial 28S ribosomal RNA". It matches the Rfam family "Eukaryotic large subunit ribosomal RNA", at positions 68 to 938 of the family's 3401-position model. Lineage: Eukaryota; Fungi; Ascomycota; Dothideomycetes; Botryosphaeriales; Phyllostictaceae. The record is from RNAcentral.
ACAGGGAUUGCCUUAGUAACGGCGAGUGAAGCGGCAAUAGCUCAAAUUUGAAAGCUGGCGUCUUCGACGUCCGCGUUGUAAUUUGUAGAGGAUGCUUCGGCGAGGACUCCUGCCUAAGUCCCCUGGAACGGGGCGUCACAGAGGGUGAGAAUCCCGUAUGUGGCGGGCGGUCCAAGCCAUGUGAAGCUCCUUCGACGAGUCGAGUUGUUUGGGAAUGCAGCUCUAAAUGGGAGGUAAAUUUCUUCUAAAGCUAAAUAUUGGCCAGAGACCGAUAGCGCACAAGUAGAGUGAUCGAAAGAUGAAAAGCACUUUGGAAAGAGAGUUAAAAAGUACGUGAAAUUGUUGAAAGGGAAGCGCUUGCAACCAGACUCGCUCGCAGUUGCUCAGCCGGCCUCUUGGCCGGUGUACUCUUCUGCGAUCGGGCCAGCAUCAGUUCGGGCGGCCGGAUAAAGGUGUCGGGAAUGUAGCACCCUUCGGGGUGUGUUAUAGCCCGGCGCGGAAUGCGGCCAGCCUGGACUGAGGAUCUCGCUUCGGCAAGGAUGCUGGCGUAAUGGUUGUAAGCGGCCCGUCUUGAAACACGGACCAAGGAGUCUAACAUCUAUGCGAGUGUUUGGGUGUCAAACCCAUGCGCGUAAUGAAAGUGAACGGAGGUGGGAACCCCUCACGGGGUGCACCAUCGACCGAUCCUGAUGUCUUCGGAUGGAUUUGAGUAAGAGCAUAGCUGUUGGGACCCGAAAGAUGGUGAACUAUGCCUGAAUAGGGUGAAGCCAGAGGAAACUCUGGUGGAGGCUCGCAGCGGUUCUGACGUGCAAAUCGAUCGUCAAAUUUGGGUAUAGGGGCGAAAGACUAAUCGA